This 472-nucleotide ribosomal RNA is filed under the name uncultured bacterium. RNAcentral describes it as "SSU rRNA". It matches the Rfam family "Bacterial small subunit ribosomal RNA", at positions 26 to 518 of the family's 1533-position model. The record is from RNAcentral.
AGGAUGAACGCUGGCGGCGUGCCUAACACAUGCAAGUCGAACGUCCUGUCUCGCAAGAGGCAGGGAGUGGCGGACGGGUGAGUACCACGUGGGUCAUCUACCGUGAGGUGAGGAAUACCGGCGAGAAAUCGCCGACAAGACCGCAUAGGCUCGAUGCAAGUCGAGCAAAGCUCUUUCGAGAGAGGGAGCGCCACACGAGGAGCCUGCGCCCGAUUAGCUAGCUGGUGGAGUAACGGUUCACCAGGGCGACGAUCGGUAGCUGGUCUGAGAGGACGAUCAGCCACACUGGGAUUGAGAACGGCCCAGACUCCUACGGGGGGCAGCAGUGAGGAAUUUUCGUCAAUGGGGGCAACCCUGAACGAGCAACGCCGCGUGCAGGAGAAGGUUUCGGAUCGUAAACUGCUUUUCUCGGGGUAAGAGAACGGACGGUACCCGAGGAAUCAGCCCCGGCUAACUACGUGCCAGCAGCCGC